GGGAUAUAACUCAGUGGUACAGUGUUUCCCUAGCAUAUGCAAAGCUCUGUGUUCAAUACCCAGUAUUAUCA
RNAcentral lists this transfer RNA (71 nucleotides) under Marmota monax (woodchuck). RNAcentral describes it as "tRNA.Ala". Lineage: Eukaryota; Metazoa; Chordata; Mammalia; Rodentia; Sciuridae. The record is from RNAcentral.